RNAcentral lists this ribosomal RNA (1574 nucleotides) under Panthera spelaea (Eurasian cave lion). RNAcentral describes it as "16S ribosomal RNA". It matches the Rfam family "Bacterial large subunit ribosomal RNA". Lineage: Eukaryota; Metazoa; Chordata; Mammalia; Carnivora; Felidae. The record is from RNAcentral.
GCCAAAGCUAGCCCAAUCAUCUACAAACGCAACUAACACUAGAAAGUAAAAUAAAACAUUUAGUUACUCCAUAAAAGUAUAGGAGAUAGAAAUUUAACUUGGCGCUAUAGAGAAAGUACCGCAAGGGAAAGAUGAAAGAAAAAACUAAAAGCACCAUACAGCAAAGAUUGCCCCUUGUACCUUUUGCAUAAUGAGUUAGCUAGCAAUAGCCUAACAAAGAGAACUUCAGCUAGGCCCCCCGAAACCAGACGAGCUACCCAUGAACAACCUAUUACAGGAUGAACUCGUCUAUGUUGCAAAAUAGUGAGAAGAUUUGUGGGUAGAGGUGAAAAGCCUAACGAGCCUGGUGAUAGCUGGUUGCCCAGAACAGAAUCUUAGUUCAACUUUAAACUUACCUCAAAACCCUAAAAUUCCAAUGUAAGUUUAAAUUAUAGUCUAAAAAGGUACAGCUUUUUAGAACUAGGAUACAGCCUUAAUUAGAGAGUAAGCACAAACAUAAACCAUAGUUGGCCUAAAAGCAGCCACCAAUUAAGAAAGCGUUCAAGCUCGACAAUCAAAACAUCUCAAUGUCAAAAAACGUAACCAACUCCUAACCUAAAACUGGGCUAAUCUAUUUAAUAAUAGAAGCAAUAAUGCUAAUAUGAGUAACAAGAAGCAUUUCUCCCGUGCAUAAGCUUAUAUCAGAACGGAUAACCACUGAUAGUUAACAACAAGAUAAAUACAACCUAACUACAAGCAAAAUAUCAAACUAAUUGUUAACCCAACACAGGCAUGCAAUCCAGGGAAAGAUUAAAAGAAGUAAAAGGAACUCGGCAAACACAAGCCCCGCCUGUUUACCAAAAACAUCACCUCUAGCAUUUCCAGUAUUAGAGGCACUGCCUGCCCAGUGACAUUAGUUAAACGGCCGCGGUAUCCUGACCGUGCAAAGGUAGCAUAAUCAUUUGUUCCUUAAAUAGGGACUUGUAUGAAUGGCCACACGAGGGCUUUACUGUCUCUUACUUCUGAUCCGUGAAAUUGACCUUCCCGUGAAGAGGCGGGAAUAUGACAAUAAGACGAGAAGACCCUAUGGAGCUUUAAUUAACCGACCCAAAGAGAUCUUGAUAACCAACCAACAGGGAUAACAAACCUCUACCAUGGGUCGACAAUUUAGGUUGGGGUGACCUCGGAGAAUAAAACAACCUCCGAGUGAUUUAAAUCUAGACUGACCAGUCGAAAAUACUACAUCACUUAUUGAUCCAAAAANCUUGAUCAACGGAAUAAGUUACCCUAGGGAUAACAGCGCAAUCCUAUUUUAGAGUCCAUAUCNACAAUAGGGUUUACGACCUCGAUGUUGGAUCAGGACAUCCCGAUGGUGCAGCNGCUAUNAAAGGUUCGUUUGUUCAACGAUUAAAGUCCUACGUGAUCUGAGUUCAGACCGGAGUAAUCCAGGUCGGUUUCUAUCUAUUAAAUAAUUUCUCCCAGUACGAAAGGACAAGAGAAAUAAGGCCCACUUUACCAAAGCGCCUUUAACCAAAUAGAUGAUAUAAUCUCAAUCUAGACAGUUUAUCUAAGCACAUCACCCGAGAGCUCGGGUU